UAAGUUUAAGUUUUGAAGAUCAAGUUGAGAGCUCACGCUUUUGGUUAUCAUCAGUCAUUGUGAGAAGAUCUGAAGGUCUCAUAAUCUUUGAGAUCACAAGUUCUUUGUUGAGGAGCAAGGAGCAAACUUUUGCCCAAAAAGCUAAAGAGUGGCCAAAUUUUUCAAUGACUUGGAGAUUAAUAUGUAAGAGGUUGUGGAUGAGCGAUUGAGGUGACCGGAGCACCAUGUACAGAUAGGGUCACAAUUACGGCUUCAUUAGUGAUGUUGAUCACCCGAGGUUAAAAUCCGGUCAAGCCAUUAACGAAGAUGGUAUGCGACAAUAUCCGAAACACCAUUAUUUUAUUACAGGUCCCUUAGGACAAUGCCAACCCUAUCAAG
Long non-coding RNA from Alnus glutinosa, 378 nucleotides. RefSeq lists it as uncharacterized. Lineage: Eukaryota; Viridiplantae; Streptophyta; Magnoliopsida; Fagales; Betulaceae. The transcript has 3 exons. The record is from RefSeq and is a predicted model, not a curated record.